RNAcentral lists this long non-coding RNA (252 nucleotides) under Elaeis guineensis (African oil palm). RNAcentral describes it as "long non-coding RNA (EGUI_LNC065970)". Lineage: Eukaryota; Viridiplantae; Streptophyta; Magnoliopsida; Arecales; Arecaceae. The record is from RNAcentral.
ACUUGAGUGUCGGAAGAUCCUCGCAGGAGCGAAAACCUCCAAUUCGGACUAUUUUUGCAGGUCAGUCCAGCAUUCCCUAUGCAAGAACCAGACGUCCACCUUUUGAUCCAGCGGUAAUAAACAGCAACAAAUAGAGGAAGGGUCUACUUUUCGCAUCAUCAUGCCAUCGAAAUGAGUAUCAUCUCGUCUCUUCAAUGCCGCCACCUCCCACCAGGCGGAGAACCAAGCAUAGCCACCAGCGAUGGUGACGCC